GAAUCAGCGUUGAUGGAGAGAGUAGGCAUGCUUGGAUCACAACAGGGAAUGGGUGUCACCGACUGCGAGCACCCUUGUGAAGCCGGAUGUUGAAGUUCACUCCAGAGCUGCGCGCUUGAAGGAGCUUUGGUUGACCAGAGCUUUGGGUAGGGCGUGCCGGUGUGUCAACACCGUUAUCUUGCAAUGAAGUGGAGUUUCGGGGCUUGGUUUGUCGUGUCCCAAACUCAAUAAGGGUGGUACCGCGAAGACCUUUUCGUCCCUUGU
This 264-nucleotide non-coding RNA is filed under the name Tumebacillus flagellatus. Its description in RNAcentral is "T-box sequence". It matches the Rfam family "T-box leader". Rfam says of the family: Uncharged tRNA acts as the effector for transcription antitermination of genes in the T-box leader family. T-boxes are found upstream of many aminoacyl-tRNA synthetase genes and some amino acid biosynthetic genes usually in Gram-positive bacteria. The anticodon of a specific tRNA base pairs to a specifier sequence within the T-box motif, and the NCCA acceptor tail of the tRNA base pairs to a conserved bulge in the T-box antiterminator hairpin. The record is from RNAcentral. Lineage: Bacteria; Bacillati; Bacillota; Bacilli; Caryophanales; Alicyclobacillaceae.